RNAcentral lists this transfer RNA (85 nucleotides) under Rhizobium sp. NFR03. Its description in RNAcentral is "tRNA_Leu_TAA". It matches the Rfam family "tRNA". Rfam says of the family: Transfer RNA (tRNA) molecules are approximately 80 nucleotides in length. Their secondary structure includes four short double-helical elements and three loops (D, anti-codon, and T loops). RNAcentral also lists the same sequence under 3 other names. The record is from RNAcentral. Lineage: Bacteria; Pseudomonadati; Pseudomonadota; Alphaproteobacteria; Hyphomicrobiales; Rhizobiaceae.
GCGGACGUGGCGAAAUUGGUAGACGCAAGAGACUUAAAAUCUCUCGAGGAGACUCGUACGGGUUCGACCCCCGUCGUCCGCACCA